RNAcentral lists this unclassified non-coding RNA (331 nucleotides) under soil metagenome. Its description in RNAcentral is "partial contains 5.8S ribosomal RNA, internal transcribed spacer 2, and large subunit ribosomal RNA". The stretch from base 1 to 120 matches the Rfam family "5.8S ribosomal RNA", at positions 35 to 154 of the family's 154-position model. The record is from RNAcentral.
GAUGAAGAACGUAGUGAAAUGCGAUAAUUAAUGUGAAUUGCAGAAUUCAGUGAAUCAUCGAGUCUUUGAACGCACAUUGCGCCCCCUGGUAUUCCGGGGGGCAUGCCUGUUCGAGCGUCAUUUCACCACUCAAGCCUCGCUUGGUAUUGGGCAACGCGGUCCGCCGCGUGCCUCAAAUCGACCGGCUGGGUCUUCUGUCCCCUAAGCGUUGUGGAAACUAUUCGCUAAAGGGUGUUCGGGAGGCUACGCCGUAAAACAACCCCAUUUCUAAGGUUGACCUCGGAUCAGGUAGGGAUACCCGCUGAACUUAAGCAUAUCAAUAAGCGGAGGA